RNAcentral lists this ribosomal RNA (253 nucleotides) under uncultured bacterium. RNAcentral's name for it is "partial 16S ribosomal RNA". It matches the Rfam family "Bacterial small subunit ribosomal RNA", at positions 524 to 776 of the family's 1533-position model. The record is from RNAcentral.
UACAGAGGUCCCGAGCGUUGUUCGGAUUCACUGGGCGUAAAGGGUGCGUAGGUGGUGAGGUAAGUCGGAUGUGAAAUCUCCAAGCUCAACUUGGAAAUGGCAUUGGAAACUACCUUGCUGGAGGUUUGGAGGGGGGACUGGAAUUCUUGGUGUAGCAGUGAAAUGCGUAGAUAUCAAGAGGAACACCAGUGGCGAAGGCGAGUCCCUGGACAACACCUGACACUGAGGCACGAAAGCUAGGGGAGCAAACAGG